GUGGAGCCUGCGGCUUAAUUUGACUCAACACGGGAAACCUCACCAGGCCCGGACACCAGAAGGAUUGACAGAUUAAGAGCUCUUUCUCGAUUUGGUGGGUGGUGGUGCAUGGCCGUUCUUAGUUGGUGGAGUGAUUUGUCUGGUUAAUUCCGGUAACGAACGAGACUCUGGCCUACUAAAUAGUCGACGGGCGUUUUGGUGCAUGGGCCCCGUUCGACACAGUCUUCUUAGAGGGAUGAGCAGCGAGUAUAGCUGCAGGAGAUUGAGCAAUAACAGGUCUGUGAUGCCCUUAGAUGUCCUGGGCCGCACGCGCGCUACACUGAAUGGGUUAGCGGGUUGUCCUUCUCCGAGAGGAGCGGGAAAUCGCGUGAAAACCAUUCGUGAUAGGGAUUGGGGCUUGCAAUUGUUUCCCAUCAACGAGGAAUUCCCAGUAAGCGCAAGUCAUCAGCUUGCGUUGAUUAAGUCCCUGCCCUUUGUACACACCGCCCGUCGCUACUACCGAUUGAAUGAUUUAGUGAGGCCUUCGGACUGGCGGUCUUGGACUGGGGCGCCGGCUUUCUCCCAGCAAUGGGGUGCCGGUGACUCGCCUCGACGAGCCGGAAAGAUGUCCAAACUUGAUCAUUUAGAGGAAGUAAAAGUCGUAACAAGGUUUCC
RNAcentral lists this ribosomal RNA (654 nucleotides) under Periclimenes kallisto. RNAcentral's name for it is "SSU rRNA". It matches the Rfam family "Eukaryotic small subunit ribosomal RNA", at positions 1176 to 1804 of the family's 1831-position model. Lineage: Eukaryota; Metazoa; Arthropoda; Malacostraca; Decapoda; Palaemonidae. The record is from RNAcentral.